UUUUGGCUCAUCCAGUCUUGGAGUCGACUCGAACUUCCUUGGAGUCGACUCGGCUCUCAGUUUCCGGAAGUUGGUCUUCUGCCUUUUGACGUGAAGCUUGUCUUGGAGUCGACUCGAGCUGUCUGAGAGUCGACUCGAAUCUCAGAGGCAGUAACUUGGUUUUCUGUCUGUCUUGGGGUCGCGGUGUCUUGGAGUCGACUCGCGUAUUGCGGGAGUCGACUCGAAUCUCAGAGUCCAUGAAAUGCUCUCUGACUUUUUCUUUGUGUACCGCUGAGAGUCGACUCUUGCUUUCUCUGGAGUCGACUUGCCACCUAUCGGAGUCGACUCGCGUUCCACUGGAGUCGACUCGAAUCUNNNNNNNNNNNNNNNNNNNNGGGACGACUCGGCAGGUGCCGGGGACGCCUCGGCUUGUGCUAGUUCUUCCUGUUUGUGCCAGAGACGUCUCUGAGACAACCCGGAGACGUCUCGGCUGUCCCUGAUCUGUUUUCUUCAACUCAAAAAUUCUUCAAUAAAUUCAUAAAAAUUAUGGAAACUUGCCUAGACAUUUCUUAACAAUAUUCUUAAUUAAACACAUGAAAUUCUCAAUUAAAUUGUUAAGAUAAAUGAAAUUAUACUCUCGUGUUUUGUAUUCAUCAAAAUCCAUUAGGUGGUCAACAG
RNAcentral lists this long non-coding RNA (657 nucleotides) under Phoenix dactylifera (date palm). RNAcentral's name for it is "long non-coding RNA (PDAC_LNC010664)". Lineage: Eukaryota; Viridiplantae; Streptophyta; Magnoliopsida; Arecales; Arecaceae. The record is from RNAcentral.